CCAUGAACAAUGGAUGGACCUGCGGUGCAUUAGCUAGUUGGUGAGGUAACGGCCCACCAAGGCGACGAUGCAUAGCCGGCCUGAGAGGGCGGACGGCCACAUUGGGACUGAGACACGGCCCAAACUCCUACGGGAGGCAGCAUG
Molecule: ribosomal RNA, 144 nt
Filed under: uncultured bacterium
Lineage: Bacteria
Description: partial 16S ribosomal RNA
Rfam family: Bacterial small subunit ribosomal RNA
Source: RNAcentral